Molecule: ribosomal RNA, 459 nt
Filed under: uncultured bacterium
Lineage: Bacteria
Description: partial 16S ribosomal RNA
Rfam family: Bacterial small subunit ribosomal RNA
Source: RNAcentral
CCUACGGGAGGCAGCAGUGAGGAAUAUUGGUCAAUGGGCGCGAGCCUGAACCAGCCAAGUAGCGUGAAGGAUGACUGCCCUACGGGUUGUAAACUUCUUUUAUAAAGGAAUAACGUGAGGCACGUGUGCCUUUUUGUAUGUACUUUAUGAAUAAGGAUCGGCUAACUCCGUGACAGCAGCCGCGGUAAUACGGGGGAUGCGAGCGUUAUCCGGAUUGAUUGGGUUUAAAGGGUGCGCAGGGGGGCUGUUAAGCGGGCGGUAAAAAUUCCGGGCUCAACCCUGUCGAGCCGUCGGAACUGGCAGUCUUGAGUGGUCGAGAAGUAGUCGGAAUGCGUGGUGUAGCGGUGAAAUGCAUAGAUAUCACGCAGAACGCCGAUGGCGAAGGCAGCAUACCGGUGCCCAACUGACGCUGAGGCACGAAAGCGUGGGGAUCGAACAGGAUUAGAUACCCGAGUAGUC